AGUGGGGAAUCUUGCGCAAUGCGCGAAAGCGUGACGCAGCAACGCCGCGUGGGGGAAGAAGGCCUUCGGGUUGUAAACCCCUUUCAGGAGGGACGAAGCCAGGGCGGUGAAUAGCCGACCCUGGUGACGGUACCUCCAGAAGAAGCCCCGGCUAACUACGUGCCAGCAGCCGCGGUAAUACGUAGGGGGCAAGCGUUGUCCGGAAUCAUUGGGCGUAAAGCGCGUGUAGGCGGUCCGGUAAGUCGGUUGUGAAAGUCCAGGGCUCAACCCUGGGAUGCCGACCGAUACUGUCGGACUAGAGUUCGGAAGAGGCGAGUGGAAUUCCCGGUGUAGCGGUGAAAUGCGCAGAUAUCGGGAGGAACACCAAUGGCGAAGGCAGCUCGCUGGGACGUUACUGACGCUGAGACGCGAAAGCGUGGGGAGCAAA
This 427-nucleotide ribosomal RNA is filed under the name uncultured Rubrobacteraceae bacterium. RNAcentral describes it as "bacterial SSU rRNA". It matches the Rfam family "Bacterial small subunit ribosomal RNA", at positions 353 to 772 of the family's 1533-position model. The record is from RNAcentral. Lineage: Bacteria; Bacillati; Actinomycetota; Rubrobacteria; Rubrobacterales; Rubrobacteraceae.